GCUAGUCUUGUGUAAUGGUUUGAGCACUGGACUAUGACUCUGGAGACAGGGUUCAAAUCCCUGUUCAGCC
Phrynosoma platyrhinos (Desert horned lizard) is the source of this 70-nucleotide non-coding RNA. NCBI's taxonomy places the organism in Eukaryota, Metazoa, Chordata, Lepidosauria, Squamata, Phrynosomatidae. The record is from the annotation of a GenBank genome assembly.